AGAACGAACGCUGGCGGCGUGCUUAACACAUGCAAGUCGAACGCGAAAGGGACUUCGGUCCUGAGUAAAGUGGCGCACGGGUGAGUAACGCGUAGAUAACCUGUCUUCAUGUCUGGAAUAAUACGCCGAAAGGGGUACUAAUACCGGAUAUUCUUGCUUUUCAUAAGUUAUGCAAGCAAAGGUGGCCUCUGCAUAUGCUACUGCAUGAAGAGGGGUCUGCGUACCAUUAGCUAGUAGGUGGGGUAAUGGCCUACCUAGGCGACGAUGGUUAGCGGGUCUGAGAGGAUGAUCCGCCACACUGGCACUGGAACACGGGCCAGACUCCUACGGGAGGCAGCAGUGAGGAAUAUUGCGCAAUGGGGGAAACCCUGACGCAGCGACGCCGCGUGAGUGAGGAAGGCCUUCGGGUCGUAAAGCUCUGUCAAGAGGAAAGAAGUGUACAAUGGCUAAUACCUGUUGUAUUUGACGGUACCUCUAAAGGAAGCACCGGCUAACUCCGUGCCAGCCGCUGC
Molecule: ribosomal RNA, 512 nt
Filed under: uncultured bacterium
Lineage: Bacteria
Description: bacterial SSU rRNA
Rfam family: Bacterial small subunit ribosomal RNA
Source: RNAcentral